CAGAUGAUUGUGCAGUUUUUCUGAAGAUGAUCUGGUUGACUGGAAGACACCAAACUUUCAGGUGUCCGCUUCAAUGCCACUUCCUCAGAAAGAUCUUCCCUGACUCGCCACACGCCCUGGGCCUCAGAGCAUCGUAUGCAUUUCCUCUGCAGCACUGAUUUCAAUGUGAAAUCGUAUAUUUAUUUGUAUUAUGAUUUGAUUGCUGCCUUUCCUGUUUGUGACUCCUAGACCCAUGUCUCUAAGACCAUGUCUGCUUUGCUCAUCACGGUCUUCUCAGCUGUGAGCCUAGUGCCUAUAUGAAUUGCUGAAUGAGAAGCGAUGCUCCCUCAUGAAAAGGUCAGAGCCUGCUGUUCUCUACUGGUUCUCAUCUGCAAACUCUUGUAUACAUACCCCCAAAAGGAUGCCAGACUAUGAUGUGUCCUCAGCUCUUUGUGAAAAAGGCAGCUACAGUUUUGCAUUAUAACUUGAAGUUGUUGGCAAAGGAUAAUACCCAGUGUACUGCAAAAAUUGACAUUUUAGAAUAAAGCCAUUACAUCACUUUUUAAAAUGUAUCCAAUGGGAUCCAAAUACCACAGCAAUCAGAUACCCAUCAUCAUUCACUUAAAAAAUACAUGAACAAGCUCUUUUUUAAUGCUGGAGGGUUUUACGUGGGUUUUUUUCUCUUUGA
This is a long non-coding RNA of Hyaena hyaena (striped hyena), 667 nucleotides long. RefSeq lists it as uncharacterized. The transcript has 3 exons. The record is from RefSeq and is a predicted model, not a curated record. NCBI's taxonomy places the organism in Eukaryota, Metazoa, Chordata, Mammalia, Carnivora, Hyaenidae.